This 488-nucleotide ribosomal RNA is filed under the name uncultured bacterium. RNAcentral describes it as "partial 16S ribosomal RNA". It matches the Rfam family "Bacterial small subunit ribosomal RNA", at positions 28 to 507 of the family's 1533-position model. The record is from RNAcentral.
GAUGAACGCUGGCGGCGUGCUUAAUACAUGCAAGUCGAACGGAAAGGCCCUGCUCUUGCGGGGUGCUCGAGAGGCGAACGGGUGAGUAACACGCGAGUAACCUGCCCCUGACUUUGGGAUAACUUCAGGAAACUGGGGCUAAUACCGCAUAGGAGCUCUUGCUGCACGGUGGGGGAUGGAAAGAUUCGGUGGUUGGGGAUGGUCUGGCGGCGUAUCAGCUUGGUUGUAGGGUAGCGGGUUACCAAGGUUAGGACGGGUAGGCGGCCUGAGAGGGUGACCGGCCACAUGGGAACUGGGACAGGGGCAAGAGGACUACGGGAGGGAGCAGUAGGGAAGCUGCCGCAAUGGGCGAAAGCAGGACGGAGCAACGCCGCGUGAGUGAUGAAGGUCUUAGGAGCGUAAAAAUCUGUUAUUAGGGAAGAACAAAUGUGUAAGUAACUAUGCACGUCUUGACGGUACCUAAUCAGAAAGCCACGGCUAACUACGUG